Molecule: long non-coding RNA, 609 nt
Filed under: Equus caballus (horse)
Lineage: Eukaryota; Metazoa; Chordata; Mammalia; Perissodactyla; Equidae
Description: lncRNA (ENSECAG00000036218.2)
Source: RNAcentral
AAUGGAUCUGCCUUCAGUGUUUGGAACAUCAAUGGUCACUUAAUCCCCCUGUUUCAGAAAUGCAGCCUCUGAAAUCCUCCUGGAGCCCCUGAUACAGAGACCCUCUUUUUCACCUGAGCCAGAGACUCAACCUCCAGACUUCUGCUGAGAAUGGGGAUGGCCCCAACCUGACCCUGAGCAGCAUGAAUGUGUGCUAAAAAUAGCAGCUAUACAAUGCGGCAGGCGGCCCGGCGAGACUCUGCGUUUAAAUGGUUUUCUUACCAGCGGUUUCAGAGCACUUUCCUCUCAUGAAUUAACCCUCAGAGGAGCCCUGGAAGGGAGCUGACCAUCUUGGCUCAAAAUCCUCUUCAUGAUUACUCCACAGUGUCUGGAUUCCCUCAUACUAACAGGGCUGCUGGACAUCCCAGAGUUCCUAAGAUGCUUAGACUCAUUAAGUUCAACUCUAACCCUCAAAAAGGAGGAUGAUAGACAGGCAGCUCCAGAGCUGUGCAGUGCAUGGAGGUGGGUGAUUUGGAGAGGAUAUAGAACAGAUGUGAACAAUAAGCCAUGCAAACUAGAUGUGUGAAGAUAACUGACAAGAGGAAAACCAAAUGAUGCCAUGAAGCUGAG